UAUUUUCACUGUUACAAUGAUUGAAGGGUACCACUGGCAUGUAGUUCUUCUGCAGUGCACAGCACAGAUUGUUCCACCAAAAUGCCAGUGGGAUUUAUUUACUAACAAUACCGUAUGAUUGUUUGGAGUGGAAUUAUUCUGUUUUAGGGUACAGUAGUCUUCCCCUAAGGUACAGUGGAUAUGUUCCAACAGCCCAGUAGGUGCCUGAAACCAUGGAUAGUGCUGAACCCUGUAUAUAGUAUGUUUUCUCCUAUGCAUACAUACCUUUUUCCUUAAUCAACUAAGUUAACUCUGUUGGAACUGUGGCAGCGGCUCUUCAUCAGCGUACGCAACAUCUCCAGUAAUUCUUAUAUUUUUCAGUCCAGACCUAUUCCUGAAUCUGCGUAACCUUGCCUUCCUUUCAAUGUUCUGUUUGGUUCCUUUGCAUACCUGUUUUGUCAGUUUUGAUAGACUCUCAUUCCUUAUAAAUAGACUUAAAGUUUAGAAAUGUCAUGAUUAAGGUAAUUCUGUAUCCUUUUAAACCUUUAGUUGGAGGCAUACUUCUCUUUCAACAACUCUAAAGUGAGAAUGAGUAGUUAUCUCUCU
Molecule: long non-coding RNA, 585 nt
Organism: Molossus molossus (Pallas's mastiff bat)
Lineage: Eukaryota; Metazoa; Chordata; Mammalia; Chiroptera; Molossidae
Exons: 3
Source: RefSeq, a predicted model, not a curated record